AGUGAACGCUGGCGGUAGGCCUAACACAUGCAAGUCGAACGGCAGCACAGUAAGAGCUUGCUCUUACGGGUGGCGAGUGGCGGACGGGUGAGGAAUACAUCGGAAUCUACUUUUUCGUGGGGGAUAACGUAGGGAAACUUACGCUAAUACCGCAUACGACCUACGGGUGAAAGCAGGGGAUCUUCGGACCUUGCGCGAUUGAAUGAGCCGAUGUCGGAUUAGCUAGUUGGCGGGGUAAAGGCCCACCAAGGCGACGAUCCGUAGCUGUUCUGAGAGGAUGAACAGCCACACUGGAACUGAGACACGGUCCAGACUCCUACGCGAGGCAGCAGUGGGGAAUAUUGGACAAUGGGCGCAAGCCUGAUCCAGCCAUACCGCGUGGGUGAAGAAGGCCUUCGGGUUGUAAAGCCCUUUUGUUGUGAAAGAAAAGCAGCAGGUUAAUACCCCGCUGUUCUGACGGUACCCAAAGAAUAAGCACCGGCUAACUUCGUG
RNAcentral lists this ribosomal RNA (492 nucleotides) under uncultured bacterium. Its description in RNAcentral is "partial 16S ribosomal RNA". It matches the Rfam family "Bacterial small subunit ribosomal RNA", at positions 29 to 507 of the family's 1533-position model. The record is from RNAcentral.